UCGGGAAUUUUGGGCAAUGGGCGCAAGCCUGAUCCAGCCAUGCCGCGUGAAGGAUGAAGGCGCUCAGCGUUGUAAACUUCUUUUUGGACGGGAACAAUACCCCUGAUGCGUCAGGGCUUGAGGGUACCGUCAGAAUAAGCACCGGCUAACUCCGUGCCAGCAGCCGCGGUAAUACGGAGGGUGCAAGCGUUAUCCGGAAUCACUGGGUUUAAAGGGUGCGUAGGCGGUCUUGUAAGUCAGUCGUGAAAUCGCUGGGCUCAACCCAUGCAAUUGCGAUUGAUACUGCGAGACUUGAAUGGGGUUAAGGCAGGCGGAAUGUGGCAUGUAGCGGUGAAAUGCAUAGAUAUGCCAUAGAACACCGAUUGCGAAGGCAGCCUGCUGGGCCUUUAUUGACGCUGAGGCACGAAAGCGUGGGGAGCAAACAGGAUUAGAUACCCCUGUAGUCCCUGAGCGGGCUGGCAAGGCGCAU
RNAcentral lists this ribosomal RNA (469 nucleotides) under uncultured bacterium. RNAcentral's name for it is "bacterial SSU rRNA". It matches the Rfam family "Bacterial small subunit ribosomal RNA", at positions 355 to 825 of the family's 1533-position model. The record is from RNAcentral.